Cydia amplana is the source of this 298-nucleotide long non-coding RNA. RefSeq lists it as uncharacterized. The transcript has 2 exons. NCBI's taxonomy places the organism in Eukaryota, Metazoa, Arthropoda, Insecta, Lepidoptera, Tortricidae. The record is from RefSeq and is a predicted model, not a curated record.
UGCACUGCAGUUGGCUGCACCUCGAAUUAGGACUACAGUGGGUUGGUCUGUGGUUCAAGCAAAUAUAUAAAUUGUCCUGUGAUGUCCGGAGCUGCCAAAGACGUUACAUGGUUAGAGUAUCUUCAAUGGAUGUAUACUAACUUGCAUGCAUGACUGAAUCUUGCAUGGCAGCCUUAUUAAAGUGAUACAUGCAAUAUCUUCGCUAAAUUCAUGUGUCUGAUAUGAGAUAUCGUAAGAAGUAUAUUAAAUGGUCGUCUUAUAUAAUAGAAACAAUGGAAAAUAAAUGAAAUAAUUGUAA